UUAAGUCGACCGCCUGGGGAGUACGGCCGCAAGGUUAAAACUCAAAUGAAUUGACGGGGGCCCGCACAAGCGGUGGAGCAUGUGGUUUAAUUCGAUGCAACGCGAAGAACCUUACCUGGUCUUGACAUCCACGGAAGUUUUCAGAGAUGAGAAUGUGCCUUCGGGAACCGUGAGACAGGUGCUGCAUGGCUGUCGUCAGCUCGUGUUGUGAAAUGUUGGGUUAAGUCCCGCAACGAGCGCA
RNAcentral lists this ribosomal RNA (241 nucleotides) under Escherichia coli. RNAcentral's name for it is "partial 16S ribosomal RNA". It matches the Rfam family "Bacterial small subunit ribosomal RNA", at positions 860 to 1100 of the family's 1533-position model. RNAcentral also lists the same sequence under 1 other name. Lineage: Bacteria; Pseudomonadati; Pseudomonadota; Gammaproteobacteria; Enterobacterales; Enterobacteriaceae. The record is from RNAcentral.